RNAcentral lists this unclassified non-coding RNA (220 nucleotides) under Glomus sp. RNAcentral describes it as "partial internal transcribed spacer 2". The stretch from base 1 to 71 matches the Rfam family "5.8S ribosomal RNA", at positions 84 to 154 of the family's 154-position model. Lineage: Eukaryota; Fungi; Glomeromycota; Glomeromycetes; Glomerales; Glomeraceae. The record is from RNAcentral.
GUGAAUCAUCGAAUUUUUGAACGCAAAUUGCGCUUUCUGUUAGUCCGGAAAGUAUGCCUGGUUGAGGGUCAGUUAAAUAAAAAUCGGUGUUGUUGCUGCCGUUCGUGGGUACGCGUCGGGAUUGGGUCGACUUACCUUCGUUUGAGGGGCUUAAAAUUUUUGGAGGAUUUUCGAACGUAGUUAAAUCGCUGACGGACGUUUGAGAUAUCGAAUGUUUAUU